Molecule: unclassified non-coding RNA, 279 nt
Filed under: plant metagenome
Description: partial contains small subunit ribosomal RNA, internal transcribed spacer 1, and 5.8S ribosomal RNA
Source: RNAcentral
UCUCCGUUGGUGAACCAGCGGAGGGAUCAUUACAUAGUUCCACAACUCCCAACCCCUUCGAGCCGUACCCCAUUUUGUUCUCGUUUCCUCCUGGCCGCUGGCCCCCGCCGCCGCCGCCGGGACCCCCGCCAGCGGCGGCGAGCACCCUGAACCUUUUUUUCUCAACAAUCCCAUCUGAGCACAAAAAAAAAUGAAGCAAAACUUUCAACGACGGAUCUAGUAGUUCGGGCGUCGAUGCAGAACGCAGCAGGUCAGAAGACCACACGUCGUAACCCCAUU